AUUCUCGACUCAUUAAAAAUCUGUCUUAAAUGAUUGCCUGCACGAGGGUUCAGGUUUGGAGGCUGUACGGUUGUGGAAGCAGAACGGGAUUCACUGAAUUACGGGCAGUUAGAACAGAGCUGAAUUACUUAUAUGCCCUCGUGUUUAUUUGGAAGCAUCUGUGCUGCCAUCAACUAGUUUGUUUUACUUGUUCGGUAAUUACAAAUGAGUUAAUGAUGGUUUGUGCAUGUUAAUCUUCAUGUUUGGGCCAAUUAAUUACUGUAAAAGGUUCUUUAGAUAUAGACUCUUUCAACUUUUAUUUUUUAGAUAAAAAUUUACUUAAUUUUAAACAUCCAAAUAAAAUUUUAAUUUGAAAAAAAUUGUCAAAUAGAAAAGUAAUUGAUCUAUUAUUACAAAACAUUUACAACUUGUGCCACAAACGAAUCAAUAAAUAUUAUUACUUACCUUAAUUAUAAUGAACAAAUAAUUAUUGCACAUACUAUUACUCCUAACAUAUAUAUAUAUACACACACACACACAUUCAAAGAAUACAAUACUACUAUAUCGUAUUACUUUUUAUAAAUACAUUCCAAAGUAUACAGUACUACUAGAAAUAUAGAUACGUUCAAUAGUAUAUCGUACGACUAAAAGUUCAAUAUAUAUAUAUAUAUAUAUAUAUAUAUAUAUGGGAUAUGAUCAAUGGACAAACAUUUUGACAAAUAUUUUUACACUUCUUUUAAACCUUUAGAUUACAAAAUAUCCAAAGGUCCAUAUUCAUUCAUUAAAUGACAUGAAUGCUUAAGUGGAUUUUAACUAAUAUUAAACAUAAAAAUAAAAUUCAAAAAGCAUAAAAUAUGAAAGGUAAUUAAAAAUAAAAUUAAAAAGGAGAGAGGAAAAUAAAUCACACUUUAGAAAAGGAAUUUUUUUUUUUUAAUGGAUUCCUUUAAACCUGCAUAUGACUUUUAACAUGAAAGAUGGUUAAUCCAUCUAAACCCAUCAUCUACAGUAUUGCCUUCGGUGUUGCUUCUACAAUUGUAGACUUAAAGUAGUUCUUUUCUCAGAUUUUUUUAAUAGAUUUGAUGUUUUACUCGAGAGUAUAGGUCUAGUUGAAGGAGAAUCACCAUAAGUAGUGAAAACAAAUUCAUUAAUUAACUCAUGGCUUUGUUGAAUCAAUUAACUCAGGGAGGGAGAUGGAGGUUAUAGUAUUUUUCAUGUUUUUGUUUUUCUUAUUUUUUUUAUUUUUUAUGCUAGGUUCAAAGUUUGAUUAUUGGUUUUUUUUUCAAUUUUAUCCUAUUAGAUAUUAAUUUUUAAUUUAGAUUAGUGUUUUCUGUAUUAGUUAUAAUCCACAUCAUCAUCCAAGUCAUUUAAUUUUUAAACUCUCCACAGCACUCUUAAUCUAGACCGUUGAAUGUUAUAAAAUCUAAAAGCUACAAGGAAGUGUAAAAAUGUUUGUCAAAAUAUUUGUCCCUUGAUCCUAUCUCUAUAUAUAAUUUACUUAUAUGUAUAUACUUCUACUAUACGUUCAAAUAUAUAUAUGCUCUAUGACAUCCCACAUCGCUCAGAGGAGUGAUCCUUAAAUGUAUAUUCUCAUCCCUACCUAGCAUGAGGCCUUUUGAGAGCUCACUGGCUUCGGGUUCUGUAAGAACUUCGAAGUUAAGCGAGUAGGAGGCCAGAGCACUCCCAGGAUGGGUGACCCACUGGGAAGUUGCUCGUGAGUUCCCAAAAACAAAAUCGUGAGGGAAUGGUAAGCCCAAAGCGGACAAUAUUGUGCUACGGUGGUGGAACGGGCCCG
This 1771-nucleotide long non-coding RNA is filed under the name Malus domestica (apple). Its description in RNAcentral is "long non-coding RNA (MDOM_LNC019868)". The record is from RNAcentral. Lineage: Eukaryota; Viridiplantae; Streptophyta; Magnoliopsida; Rosales; Rosaceae.